CAUAGCCACAAGCUAUUACUUGUGGUGUUUUCUGCUCAAUGAGACAUUAAAUAGCCGCAGUACACUGACUGUGCAAAGGUAGCGUAAUAAUUUGUCUUCUAAUUAAAGUCUAGUAUGAAUGAAUAUAUGGGGGCCUACUAUACCAGCAACAUAGUAGGAAAUUAUUUAAUGAGUGCAAAUGCUCAUGAGGUAAUAAUAGACGAGAAGACCCUAGAAAUUUGUAUCGUUGUUUUGUUGGGGCAACAGGGUAGCAAUUAAUCUACUUGUGUAUAUGAAAUAAGUUUGUAAAAUUAAAUUACUCUAGGGAUAACAGCAUAAUGUAUAAAUGUUUGUGACCUCGAUGUUGGAUUAGGGAUUUGUAACUUAGAAGGUGACCAAUAAAGCUCUGUUCGAG
RNAcentral lists this ribosomal RNA (394 nucleotides) under Sphaerospira oconnellensis. RNAcentral describes it as "partial 16S ribosomal RNA". It matches the Rfam family "Archaeal large subunit ribosomal RNA", at positions 1906 to 2654 of the family's 2987-position model. The record is from RNAcentral. Lineage: Eukaryota; Metazoa; Mollusca; Gastropoda; Stylommatophora; Camaenidae.